GAUGAACGCUGGCGGCGUGCCUAAUACAUGCAAGUCGAGCGAACGGACGAGAAGCUUGCUUCUCUGAUGUUAGCGGCGGACGGGUGAGUAACACGUGGAUAACCUACCUAUAAGACUGGGAUAACUUCGGGAAACCGGAGCUAAUACCGGAUAAUAUUUUGAACCGCAUGGUUCAAAAGUGAAAGACGGUCUUGCUGUCACUUAUAGAUGCAUCUCGGCUGCAUUAGCUAGUUGGUAAGGUAACGGCUUACCAAGGCAACGAUGCAUAGCCGACCUGUGAGGGUGAUAGGCCACACUGGAACUGAGACGCGGUCCAGACUCCUACGGGAGGCAGCAGUAGGGAAUGGUCCGCAGUGGGCGAAAGCCUGACGGAGCAACGCCGCGUGAGUGAUGGAGGUCUUGGGAGCGUAAUACUCUGUUAUGAGGGAAGAACAUAUGUGUCAGUAACUGUGCACAGCUUGACGGUACCUGAUCAGAAAGCAACGGCUAACUACGUG
This 497-nucleotide ribosomal RNA is filed under the name uncultured bacterium. Its description in RNAcentral is "partial 16S ribosomal RNA". It matches the Rfam family "Bacterial small subunit ribosomal RNA", at positions 28 to 507 of the family's 1533-position model. The record is from RNAcentral.